AUGAACGCUGGCGGCGUGCUUAACACAUGCAAGUCGAACGGAAAGGCUCCUGCUUGCAGGGGUACUCGAGUGGCGAACGGGUGAGUAACACGUGGGUGAUCUGCCCUGCACUUCGGGAUAAGCCUGGGAAACUGGGUCUAAUACCGGAUAGGACCACAUUUUGGAUGGUGUGGUGGAAAGUUUUUCGGUGUGGGAUGAGCUCGCGGCCUAUCAGCUUGUUGGUGGGGUAAUGGCCUACCAAGGCGUCGACGGGUAGCCGGCCUGAGAGGGUGUACGGCCCCAUUGUGACUGUGAUACGGCCCAGACUCCUACGGGGGGCAGCAGUGGGGAAUAUUGCACAAUGUGCGCAAGCCUGAUGCAGCGACGCCGCGUGGGGGAUGACGGCCUUCGGGUUGUAAACUCCUUUCGCUAGGGACGAAGCGUUUUUGUGACGGUACCUGGAGAAGAAGCACCGGCUAACUACGUG
RNAcentral lists this ribosomal RNA (466 nucleotides) under uncultured bacterium. Its description in RNAcentral is "partial 16S ribosomal RNA". It matches the Rfam family "Bacterial small subunit ribosomal RNA", at positions 29 to 507 of the family's 1533-position model. The record is from RNAcentral.